AGCAGGAACCAAUUAUCUUCUCAACAACCAUAAAAGAAAACAUUAUAUAUGCUAGACACAACGCUAGCGAAGCUGAGAUGAAAGAGGCUGCAAGAAUAGCAAAUGCUCACCAUUUCAUCAGCAGCCUGCCUCAUGGUUAUGACACACAUGUGGGAAUGAGGGGUGUAGACCUGACACCAGGACAGAAGCAGAGAAUUGCAAUUGCUCGAGUGGUGCUGAAGAAUGCACCCAUCUUGUUAUUGGAUGAAGCUAGCUCGUCCAUUGAAUCUGAAUCUAGUAGAGUGGUGCAAGAGGCACUAGAUACACUAAUUAUGGGAAACAAAACAACCAUUCUCAUAGCUCAUAGAGCUGCAAUGAUGAGGCAUGUCGACAAUAUUGUUGUUCUAAAUGGAGGGCGAAUUGUUGAGGAAGGGACCCAUGAUUCUUUGAUGGUGAAGAACGGCUUGUAUGUCAGGCUGAUGCAACCCCCCUUUGGAAAGGGUUUUCGACAG
This 491-nucleotide unclassified non-coding RNA is filed under the name Hevea brasiliensis (rubber tree). Lineage: Eukaryota; Viridiplantae; Streptophyta; Magnoliopsida; Malpighiales; Euphorbiaceae. The record is from RNAcentral.